This is a long non-coding RNA of Micropterus dolomieu (smallmouth bass), 258 nucleotides long. RefSeq lists it as uncharacterized. The transcript has 2 exons. The record is from RefSeq and is a predicted model, not a curated record. Lineage: Eukaryota; Metazoa; Chordata; Actinopteri; Centrarchiformes; Centrarchidae.
AGCCAUGGUUCUGCUCGAGGUUUCCUUGCCUCUGUCGCCUAGUGCUUGCUCUUGGAAUCAUCUCUGGAGACCAGCCCUGAAUACUCAGUCCCAGAACUCAACUCACUCUGCUCACGUAAAACCGUGUGUGGACCUCCACCCUCCAAGCCAGUCAGCCAGCCACUCUCAGGAACGUCCCCCACCUCUGGACCCCCACUCUUGCCUGCCAGCAACCCCCCUCGCACAAUUACACUUUGUCAAAUAAACCGUUGAAAUCAC